This 497-nucleotide ribosomal RNA is filed under the name uncultured bacterium. Its description in RNAcentral is "partial 16S ribosomal RNA". It matches the Rfam family "Bacterial small subunit ribosomal RNA", at positions 28 to 507 of the family's 1533-position model. The record is from RNAcentral.
GAUGAACGCUGGCGGCGUGCCUAAUACAUGCAAGUCGAGCGAACAGAUGAGGAGCUUGCUCCUCUGACGUUAGCGGCGGACGGGUGAGUAACACGUGGAUAACCUACCUAUAAGACUGGGAUAACUUCGGGAAACCGGAGCUAAUACCGGAUAAUAUAUUGAACCGCAUGGUUCAAUAGUGAAAGACGGUUUUGCUGUCACUUAUAGAUGGAUCCGCGCCGCAUUAGCUAGUUGGUAAGGUAACGGCUUACCAAGGCAACGAUGGGUAGCCGACCUGAGAGGGUGCUCGGCCACACUGGAACUGAGACACGGUCCAGACUCCUACGGGAGGCAGCAGUAGGGAAUCUUCCGCAAUGGGCGAAAGCCUGACGGAGCAACGCCGCGUGAGUGAUGAAGGUCUUCGGAUCGUAAAACUCUGUUAUUAGGGAAGAACAAAUGUGUAAGUAACUAUGCACGUCUUGACGGUACCUAAUCAGAAAGCCACGGCUAACUACGUG